This 162-nucleotide unclassified non-coding RNA is filed under the name uncultured Leuconeurospora. Its description in RNAcentral is "sequence contains ITS1". Lineage: Eukaryota; Fungi; Ascomycota; Sordariomycetes; Hypocreales. The record is from RNAcentral.
AUGAGAACGUGCCCUUCGGGGUAGAUCUCCCACCCUGUGUUUACACUACCUUUGUUGCUUUGGCAGGCCCGCCCUCGGGCCGCCGGCUCCGGCUGGCCAGCGUCUGCCAGAGGAUUCAAAACUCUGAUAAUUAUGUCGUCUGAGUACUAUUAUAAAUAGUUA